UGUGUACAAAGUUGGUUGUGGGGUGAAGAGAUGAAAGGAAAUUCAACAUUGGAAUCGGUGGGCUAUGCAACUAUAUAUGAUGAUGAUGAGAUCGAGUCGGAUCAGUCAUGUGCCACUUUUGUGAGUUCAAGUUGAAGGAGAUGAUGGAAGUUGUGUGGUUUGUAUGGGUUUGAAGAAACAAUGGAUUUGCUUUUUAUGUUGUAAUGGAUAUUUUUAUUUUUAUUUUUAUUU
Non-coding RNA from Camellia sinensis, 231 nucleotides. The record is from RefSeq and is a predicted model, not a curated record. NCBI's taxonomy places the organism in Eukaryota, Viridiplantae, Streptophyta, Magnoliopsida, Ericales, Theaceae.